CAACGUUUCGAAAGGAACGCUAAUACCGCAUACGCCCUACGGGGGAAAGCAGGGGAUCUUCGGACCUUGCGCUAAUAGAUGAGCCUAAGUCGGAUUAGCUAGUUGGUGGGGUAAAGGCCUACCAAGGCGACGAUCUGUAGCGGGUCUGAGAGGAUGAUCCGCCACACUGGGACUGAGACACGGCCCAGACUCCUACGGGAGGCAGCAGUGGGGAAUAUUGGACAAUGGGGGGAACCCUGAUCCAGCCAUGCCGCGUGUGUGAAGAAGGCCUUUUGGUUGUAAAGCACUUUAAGCGAGGAGGAGGCUCCUAUAGAUAAUACCUAUAGUGAGUGGACGUUACUCGCAGAAUAAGCACCGGCUAACUCUGUGCCAGCAGCCGCGGUAAUACAGAGGGUGCGAGCGUUAAUCGGAUUUACUGGGCGUAAAGCGUGCGUAGGUGGUCUUUUAAGUCGGAUGUGAAAUCCCUGAGCUUAACUUAGGAAUUGCAUUCGAUACUGGGAGACUAGAGUAUGGGAGAGGAUGGUAGAAUUCCAGGUGUAGCGGUGAAAUGCGUAGAGAUCUGGAGGAAUACCGAUGGCGAAGGCAGCCAUCUGGCCUAAUACUGACA
RNAcentral lists this ribosomal RNA (607 nucleotides) under Acinetobacter sp. RNAcentral's name for it is "bacterial SSU rRNA". It matches the Rfam family "Bacterial small subunit ribosomal RNA", at positions 144 to 745 of the family's 1533-position model. The record is from RNAcentral. Lineage: Bacteria; Pseudomonadati; Pseudomonadota; Gammaproteobacteria; Moraxellales; Moraxellaceae.